This 654-nucleotide ribosomal RNA is filed under the name uncultured bacterium. RNAcentral describes it as "SSU rRNA". It matches the Rfam family "Bacterial small subunit ribosomal RNA", at positions 245 to 915 of the family's 1533-position model. The record is from RNAcentral.
CUAGUUGGUGGGGUAAUAGCUCACCAAGGCGACGAUCGGUAGCUGGUCUGAGAGGACGAUCAGCCACACUGGGAUUGAGGACGGCCCAGACUCCUACGGGGGGCAGCAGUGAGGAAUUUUCGUCAAUGGGGGCAACCCUGAACGAGCAACGCCGCGUGCAGGAAGAAGGUUUUCGGAUCGUAAACUGCUUUACUGAGGGACGAGCAAGGACGGUACCUCAGCAACAAGCCCCGGCUAACUACGUGCCAGCAGCCGCGGUAAUACGUAGGGGGCGAGCGUUGUCCGGAGUUAUUGGGCGUAAAGCGCACGCAGGCGGUCUUUUGCGUUCGGAGUGACAGUCGUCGGCUUAACUGACGAAGCGCUUGGAAAACGGGGAGACUUGAGAGCUUAAGAGGGACACGGAAUUCCGGGUGGAGUGGUGAAAUGCGUAGAUAUCCGGAGGAACGCCAAAGGCGUAGGCAGUGUCCUGGGGAGUUUCUGACGCUCAGGUGCGAAAGCUAGGGGAGCGAACGGGAUUAGAUACCCCGGUAGUCCUAGCCGUAAACGAUGACCACUAGGCGUAGGGGGUAUCGACCCCUUCUGUGCCGCAGUUAACACGAUAAGUGGUCCGCCUGGGGAGUACGGUCGCAAGAUUAAAACUCAAAGGAAUUGACG